This 224-nucleotide long non-coding RNA is filed under the name Arachis ipaensis. RNAcentral describes it as "long non-coding RNA (AIPA_LNC001494)". The record is from RNAcentral. Lineage: Eukaryota; Viridiplantae; Streptophyta; Magnoliopsida; Fabales; Fabaceae.
AAAAAAGAAAGGGAAACAGAAGAGGAAAGGGGAAGACGGAGGAGAAGAGAGGGAGGAGGAAGGAGCGACGCGGCCGAGACCUUACCGCCGCCGUUGUUGUGCUGCACGUGAGAGUGAGAGAGAGACACACACAGAAUGAGCGUCGCGAGAAUCAACGGAGGGAGGCACGGUUCGGUCCUGUUGCCGUAGCGGGUUGCGCCUGAUCACCAUCGCAGAAGCUCCAU